This 87-nucleotide transfer RNA is filed under the name Candidatus Omnitrophota bacterium. RNAcentral describes it as "Candidatus Omnitrophica bacterium tRNA-Ser". It matches the Rfam family "tRNA". Rfam says of the family: Transfer RNA (tRNA) molecules are approximately 80 nucleotides in length. Their secondary structure includes four short double-helical elements and three loops (D, anti-codon, and T loops). Further hydrogen bonds mediate the characteristic L-shaped molecular structure. tRNAs have two regions of fundamental functional importance: the anti-codon, which is responsible for specific mRNA codon recognition, and the 3' end, to which the tRNAs corresponding amino acid is attached (by aminoacyl-tRNA synthetases). tRNAs cope with the degeneracy of the genetic code in two manners: having more than one tRNA (with a specific anti-codon) for a particular amino acid; and 'wobble' base-pairing, i.e. permitting non-standard base-pairing at the 3rd anti-codon position. The record is from RNAcentral. Lineage: Bacteria; Pseudomonadati; Candidatus Omnitrophota.
GGAGGGGUGGCCGAGAGGCUGAAGGCACCGGUUUGCUAAACCGGCAUACGUGAAAGCGUAUCGUGGGUUCGAAUCCCACCCCCUCCG